Jaculus jaculus (lesser Egyptian jerboa) is the source of this 406-nucleotide long non-coding RNA. RefSeq lists it as uncharacterized. The record is from RefSeq and is a predicted model, not a curated record. The transcript has 2 exons. NCBI's taxonomy places the organism in Eukaryota, Metazoa, Chordata, Mammalia, Rodentia, Dipodidae.
CCGGUUUUUAAAACCCUCAUUUGUCCCAAGUAAAUGCAUGAGAGCCCGCGACGUCGCGUUCUCAAGUAUUGCUGCGAAGUAGACGAAGUGUGGAGAAGCUUUCAAAUGCCCCAGUGGCCCGGCCUGGAGUUGGAAAGCGCCAAACCGGUUUAUCACCUGUGGGCUGAUUCUUCCUGAAUUAGAGGUCUCCUUGGUCCCACCAACCAAUCAGGCCUUUCCUACACACCUGGGGAUGAGGCUCGUCUUAAUUGAAUGCCUGACUCGUAUGAAUCGACCUGACCUCUAUAUACAAGUGCCUUCUUACCUUCUCUUUCCCAGAGGCUUCCUCCUGGGGCAGAGCUGGUUCCCUACAUGAGGCUGGAGGCCCUAGCUUUCUUUGAUUGCAAAUAAAUAAAAAUAUAUUUUU